CUUAAAUGAGGAAUGAUCAGCUUAUUAACUAAUCCACUGUUUAGGCUUAAUAAGCCGUUGAUAAGAACCAUGAUUUAUAAACGUUUAUUAGGGGUUUCUUAACUAAUAAGCAGAUUAGACGCGUUAUGUUGGCAUCUUGGCACAUAGACAAAAAAUGGCUGAACAUUAAUUUAAAAAAAAAGUUUGACAGCAACACUAGCGGUAAAUCGUAAAAUCCUGAACAAUGCGAUGUACAAUUUUAACCAGUUUUCUGGGUUAUUAUAUAUUAAAAUAGCCUCUGCAUCACAAAAACAUAUAAAUAAUAUUGCACGGCUGGAAAUUUUACAAAACUUGUUUCAAUAUAUUGUGAGGUAAAGAAGACGGAGUCAAGAAUUGGAGAAAUCACAGCAAGAAAUCGCCGCAAGCCCGCCUGCGCGCCAUCGCCACCGUGAUACCACGGAUUCCAACACAUUUUGUUCUGGUGGCGAAACACGAACGAUAUUGACACUAUUCAUAUCAAAUGAUCGGUGAAGAUAAAUCAGGUUGUGAGUAUUCCAUCAUCAGCUAUUGUCCGGAGCUGGCUACAUAAUCCGGAGGCCACACUGUUCUGGCAUCUAACCAGCCAGCAAAUGAAGUUGGUUGUACUGAAAUAAAG
Long non-coding RNA from Cydia fagiglandana, 634 nucleotides. RefSeq lists it as uncharacterized. The record is from RefSeq and is a predicted model, not a curated record. The transcript is spliced from 3 exons. Lineage: Eukaryota; Metazoa; Arthropoda; Insecta; Lepidoptera; Tortricidae.